This 45-nucleotide non-coding RNA is filed under the name Schistosoma curassoni. Lineage: Eukaryota; Metazoa; Platyhelminthes; Trematoda; Strigeidida; Schistosomatidae. The record is from RNAcentral.
AUCCAGCUAACAAGUCCCAAAUAGGACGAAACCCGCGUUUUGGAU